Small nucleolar RNA from Laticauda laticaudata (blue-ringed sea krait), 76 nucleotides. Its record names the gene SNORD83. It matches the Rfam family "Small nucleolar RNA SNORD83". Rfam says of the family: U83 (SNORD83) and U84 (SNORD84) are members of the C/D class of snoRNA which contain the C (UGAUGA) and D (CUGA) box motifs. They act as guanine methylation guides but lack complementarity to ribosomal RNA. Lineage: Eukaryota; Metazoa; Chordata; Lepidosauria; Squamata; Elapidae. The record is from Ensembl.
GCCAAAUGAUGUAGAAAUGAUGACAUAGCCCAUCGUGCAAAGAUGACAUUUCAUCUAUCACCCAAUUCUGAUGGCU